AUACGUAGGGGGCGAGCGUUGUCCGGAAUGAUUGGGCCUAAAGGGCGCGUAGGCGGCCCGGUAAGUCUGGAGUGAAAGUCCUGUUUUUAAGAUGGGAAUUGCUUUGGAUACUGUCGGGCUUGAGUGCAGGAGAGGUAAGUGGAAUUCCCAGUGUAGCGGUGAAAUGCGUAGAGAUUGGGAGGAACACCAGUGGCGAAGGCGACUUACUGGACUGUAACUGACGCUGAGGCGCGAAAGUGUGGGGAGCAAACAGGAUUAGAUACCCUGGUAGUCCACACUGUAAACGAUGAAUGCUAGGUGUAGGGGGUAUCGACCCCUUCUGUGCCGCAGUCAACACAAUAAGCAUUCCGCCUGGGGAGUACGGCCGCAAGGUUGAAACUCAAAUGAAUUGGCGGGG
This 397-nucleotide ribosomal RNA is filed under the name uncultured bacterium. RNAcentral describes it as "partial 16S ribosomal RNA". It matches the Rfam family "Bacterial small subunit ribosomal RNA", at positions 523 to 918 of the family's 1533-position model. The record is from RNAcentral.